AUAAAAUUUGUAUUAACAAUAUUAAAAAACAGUGAUUUUGUCACCCGUUACAUCUCAUUCGAUGUAUCUUCUUUUUCUGAAAAAGUUACCUGUGGACGUCAAUUUUCUAAAUAAACAAGUUUUUAAGUUAUGAGCAAAAAACUAAGUUUGACGUUUUGAUUGUUUAUUUAAAAAAUGUUCCACUAAAAAAUUGAAUGAAAAUGAAUCCCAAGAUGGUAGUCUUUUUGUAAUAUCUCAUACUACACAUUUCAACUAUCAAACCUCGUCUUAUCCGUUAUGUCUAGUAAAAACCUAACUUGAUUGGCCUAUUAUCUAUAAUUAAAACGCACUACCCAUUUCGGCAUUAAUGAACGUUUAUUAUACUAGGCAUGCCCCGCUCACUCUAAUAUAAAACAUGUAAUCGUAUUUAUUUUCCUUCCAUUUAGUCAGAGGCGCUGAUGUCGGCCUUGUGAUUGGUGGAACAUGACUUUUGACAAAUCCUGCGCUAUCUGUGAAUCUGUAAUCUGUGUUCGUGUUCGUUCAUUCGUUGUCGUUCACUUAUUUUAUAUGGUCGGUUAUGUGAUGUGUUUGUGCCCAAGUAGCAAUUUGUCGACGCGACAACGUUGUCUACCGCGUGGCAACGUUUUGUUACAACGUUGUUAUUGCCUAGAAGACGACCCUAUUCUGCACUAAUUUGGUGGACGAUUUUUGAGUUGUCUUGACGUUGCCUAGGCAACCUCCUAUGAAGCAACAUCGUUUCGUAAGCGUUGCAUAAGACAACUGAAGCGACUAUAAAAAGAACCUGCGCGUGUAAUGGUUGCUCAAGGAGUCAGACUAGUUAUGUUUUUUUACCUAUAUUUUUAACACCUGUAUGGUGAAUGCGAAAACCAAAAUGGUAACUAUUUUGACAUCGUAUUAGGUAUUUAAAUUUAUAUAAAUACAUAAAGGACUUAAACAAAAUUACCUGAUCUGAAAAUUUAUAAACGCAUCUCAGAUUACCGUCAAAUAUGGAUAUUUCACCUUUAAAAAACACACGCGCUACUUUUUUACGACAUUUUUGACAAAAAAUAUGCAAAUUUAAAAAAAUCAAAUUUUAAUAUAAAAGUUAAAAUUUAUGUUAAAGAUGUUCUGUAUAAAUUUAAUGUAUUGAUGGUACUUUUAAAGGUAUCAGAAAAAGGUAUCAUUUUUUAUAUUCUGUAUUUUCAUUUUCUUUACAUCCCAAAAAUCUCAAGUAAAACCAAAAUGGUGCAUUAAACAAUAUUACCUUAUUACUAAAAAAAUACCUUAUUACCAACCCUAGACCGAUAAGACAACUUAGAAGUCCAAUCGCCAACCAAGCCCGGCCGCGCUGACUAUCCCAACCAUUUUAGAACGCACCCUCUUAUUGGGUGACAGAGAGGUCAUGUGACCAGUGUCAAAAGUGUAGCAUUCUCCUUAACAGCGUUGCCACAUUUUGGAGAUUUCUACUUUUUUGGUAGAUUUUUGAUAUUUUUUAAAAUAUUCUAGUAGGUAAUAUUGUUUAGUAGAUUUUUGUUAUAUUUCAACAUUUUGUUAUGACUAAAAUAAAAUUUGCUUUUUAAUAGUAUUUACCCCAUUUCUAAAUUAAUUUUCACACAUUUGGUUACAAUUUCCCAAUCCGAAAAUAAGACCGAAAAUAAGAUUCAGAAUAAUUAGGUCAUUACCGAAAAUAAGAUUCAGGACGUAGAUGAUGAAUAUUACAGAGAAAUGAAACUGGAAACUGGAUUCUUGUGUAACAAACUUGCAGAUUUCAAGUAACAGUGCAAGCAGUAUUUCAGGUGUUAUUGAAGAGUUCUGGCAUUCGGUGAGCCUAUUAGAAGCUAACGAUGGAAAACUAAAAUAUCUAAACAUAUGUAACUUUGCAAAACACAAAAUGUUGUGUUCACGUGUUUCUAAUGUUAAAUGCGAAACAAUUGUUUGAAGAAUUUGAUCCAGACAUGCAGCUGUUAAAAUUAGUGGAUGACAAAAUAUUCUAGUUGUUAAAUGUACCUAUUCAUUUUUUUCGAAUCAUGAGGAAACUAUAAUAAGUAUUUUUGAAAAAUUUAAACGCAAAAUGAAAGACUGCAUUAUUUAGAAAAACCAAAACGUUUCUUUUGAAUGAGAUAUUUGGAAUUAAAAUGACACUACAUUUUGUCUUUUUUUCACCCCUGUAACUUAUUAAAAUAAACAUUAUAGAAGUUUUCAGGGACUUUCGGUCCUCGGUAAUAACGUAAUCUUUCUUUCUGCGUUUAAAUUUUUCGAAAUACUUAUUAGUUUUCUCAGGAUUCUCAAAAAAUGAAAACAUUUAAAAUACAUUGAACAUUUUAACGGGCGACAUUUUGCGCCUAUCCCCUUAAGUUAGCUGUUGUUUUUAUUAUCAAAAAUCCCAAAUAUAUCCCAAAAAUCCUUAAGUAUAUUUUAGUUUUUGAUUUAGUAGAUUUUAGCUAAAAAAUGGUAAUUACCAGUUGUUGUUUUGGAAUAAUUAGGUUUCCAAUUUUUUGGAAUUCCUCUUGGGACAGUUAAGACGGAUAUGCAGAUUACUGUAUAAGUAUACUGUAUUUACAUGGCCUAAAAAGAAUCUACUGAUUUUGUGAAAGCAAAACUACUGAAAGAGUAAAAACUGACCUGGCAACCCCGUCUAGCAGGCAACCCCGUCUAGCAAAGCUGAUACAAAAGGUUUGUUCCAACAUGAACUUUUGGACGGUCCAGAAACCGUCACGAAACUACUUGUACCGUUUGUUGUGCGCAUGUUCGUAAUUGUAUCGCCCAGUUAUCGUCCCAUGACGGUAAUCAUAUAUUUGUCAUUUUUGUUGGUGACAGCUUGUGUGCUUUUAGUCGAUCAAAGUCUCAAAAACUUUAAAGAAUUAAAUCCUAGUGCGCAAGUCAGUCCAACCAGCACAUUAUGCAUUUGCCCGAUUACUGAAAUGAUCAUCACGAAACCGUCACCGAAAGAUCACAAUUCUUGUUGGAACAGUGGGAAGGACGAUCCGAUGACGAUCAUAUUUUUGUUGGGACGGAUUUUGUUUACUGCGCGGAAGCGUUACCGUUUCGUGACGGUUCUCGGUCGUGUUGGAACAAACCUUAUGAUUGAAAGAUUAAGGUUAUCAAAUCUACUGAUAAAACAGUGGACAAUGGAAUGGAAACCAGCUAUUAAAAAAAUAAACAAACAGGUUGUUAAAUAAAUCGAAAAUUUCCAGCAAAAUAAAACAUAUAAUAAUAAGAAAAAAAUAAGGUUAUAAAGUAAAUUCUUUUUCUCCUUCUGAAGUUGCCGCAAAGGUGUCACACACCUAGAACAACACCUAGGGUCGUGACAGACAACUUCAGAGUCGGCCAGGGCGUAAAUUAGUUUAGCAUUAUAACGUUUUUAAGUCGUUGCGAUUGUUGAAAAAACUGAACUGUGAUAUGUAGUUGUCACAAUGGUAAUAAAUUAGUUGCCCGUGUAACUAAAGGUAUUACUUAAAGUUGUAACAUCGCAAUGUCAGUCGGGAUAGGGGACGUUGGCCGAAACAACUUAAAAUGCUCUCGGGCAACGUUAUAUACAGUGCAUUUGUUUGUACUGACAACCAAUGCGUCGAAAAAUUGCUACUUGGGUGUCACCAUAAAAAUCUGAUAUUCAGUCGUGUUUUUUACCUAGUACCUUUUUAAAGGUCUAAUGGCUCCGUUCAGCUGUUGUGUGCAGACGGUGGAAAAAUUCGACAAGUAAACAUUUAUUUAAUCCAAAUUACUCAUAUUUCUAUGUAAAAUGUCAUAUUAUUGUUUAAAUAAAUAAGUAAGAAACAAAA
Molecule: long non-coding RNA, 3758 nt
Filed under: Diabrotica virgifera virgifera (western corn rootworm)
Lineage: Eukaryota; Metazoa; Arthropoda; Insecta; Coleoptera; Chrysomelidae
Description: uncharacterized LOC126892663
Source: RNAcentral